UUGGCUGGGCUAAAACGCAUCUUACUAUACCCAAUCUCUCUUCAGGGUCAACUUCUUCCAAAGUACUAGAUUCUUCAUAAACUUCGUCUAACUCAGUAUCUGCUACGUAUACUUAUUCAUCUCCUAAAGAAUUUCAAAGUUCUCUUCUUUGGAUUUUUCAAUGUGUAGAGCUCGAGAUGGGCACUGAUUAGAGAUGUAACCUAACCCAUUGCACUUGAAGCAUCGGGUUCCC
Molecule: long non-coding RNA, 232 nt
Filed under: Elaeis guineensis (African oil palm)
Lineage: Eukaryota; Viridiplantae; Streptophyta; Magnoliopsida; Arecales; Arecaceae
Description: long non-coding RNA (EGUI_LNC072782)
Source: RNAcentral